Molecule: ribosomal RNA, 141 nt
Filed under: uncultured bacterium
Lineage: Bacteria
Description: partial 16S ribosomal RNA
Rfam family: Bacterial small subunit ribosomal RNA
Source: RNAcentral
CCUACGGGAGGCAGCAGUAGGGAAUCUUCCACAAUGGACGAAAGUCUGAUGGAGCAACGCCGCGUGAGUGAAGAAGGUUUUCGGAUCGUAAAACUCUGUUGUUGGAGAAGAAUGUAUUUGAUAGUAACUGAUCAGGUAGUG